This 369-nucleotide ribosomal RNA is filed under the name Triticum aestivum (bread wheat). RNAcentral's name for it is "partial small subunit ribosomal RNA". Lineage: Eukaryota; Viridiplantae; Streptophyta; Magnoliopsida; Poales; Poaceae. The record is from RNAcentral.
AUGUGGAGGACUGUUGGAUGCGUGUUGGGCACGGAUCGCUGUCCGAAUAACAUUUGACAAUAUUUUUCCUAGUGCUAUAGCUUCCUUCCAGAGGGAGAGAAGUUCUAUACUUUUGGCUUAGCUGCCCUCUGCUGGGCUAUGUGGAAUUGCCGCAACAGAACCACGUUUGAAUUCAAGAAGUUGGGAUCCCCUUUUAACGUGAUUUAUGUUGCUUGUGGUUAUAUCACAUGUUGGGCAGGUCUGAUGAGGGGCGAAGAUCGUGAAGCAAUGGAGCGUGGAGCUAAGAUGCCGAGGAUCAAUGCCUCGAACAUGAUGCGUAUCUGCGCGGCGCCAGGGGGGACAACUGAAGGUGUGGAUGGCAGAAGUUAG